GAAGCAGGACAAAUCCAAGCUGAAGCUAAGCAUCAAGAAAUGAUUCAAGUUGGGUCAUCUUCUAUUUCCAGUAGAGAGAAUGGAGACUUGCAGGUCAUACAAUAUGUGUUUGAAUAUCUAAGGAUGCAGCACUCAAAGGCGGUAUAGGUCACUUCUUGAACUUUGUCCAUCACCAAAAAAAAAAAAAAAAAAGAAGAGAAAAUUAUAUGUCUGACCUGGAAUCCUGUGAGAAGGUAUAAUUUUCCAACUCUUUAUAGAAAAGUUUCUUUGUCAGCAUGAUUGCUUUGUUUUCUUCUCGCCAUGUCAAUUUGACUUCUGUUAUCACAAAUGAUAAGUGUUUAUUCCUGUUCACAUUGGAGCAAACCCAAAUGGUGGACAUUUUUAUUUAUACAUUAUCCAUUUACAGAACGAAGAGACUGAAAUAUGGGAUUCUCUACUCGAUACAUUUGUGACUGAAACAGAACACAAUGAGACAAUAAAAAAAUUGUUGCUUGCCAUGGAAAAACUCAUCGUGAAUGUAGCAUUUACGAAAUUUCGUUCCAAGAUGGAAAACGCCAUCCUCCCACAGCGCAAUGGAUUUGACUGUGGUAUCUUUGUUAUGAAGUUCAUGGAACAACCAGAUAAUUAUGUGAAGAGAAAUCCUUCAUUUCUGGUAUGCCUCUUACAAACAUAUAAUCGUAGACUCAUAGUUUGACAGUGAAAAAGAAAAGGAGGAUUUGGCUAUGAAGUUGCUCAACAGUGACCUGAACCCAGAAAAACAAAAUCUAUAUGACAAAGCAAGACGCCACUACGCACAAGUUGAAAAGCAAGAUGGCAAUAAAAGAUUACGAGUUGCCAGAGUAAAUAGACAAGAUCGUUUAGAAGAAAAUUUAAUUGGGUGCGAUUCUCAAAAUGAUGAUAAACAAAUAUGGGAGUGGAUAACGGGUGACAAGGUGUCAGUAAUUGGCGUUUGAGGAAUAGCGGGUUCAAGAAAAAUAACCUUAGCAACCCAUAUUCAUGAUAAGCUUUUAGAAGAAGCCAAUGGUGACAUUAAAGUUAUUUGGGUGACUGUAUCACAAAAUAUCAACUUGUACAAGUUGUAAAAAGUCAUAGCUAAAUCAAUUAAGUUGGAUAUAUCUGAUGAGCCUUGUAAAAGAAUUGCCAGAAAAUUAUUUCAAGCCUUCAAGGAGAUGAAGAAGUGUAUUAUUAUCUCAGAUGACAUUUGGGAUCAUUUCUCUCUAAAGGACCUUAGAUUUCCUAUGUCAAGUAAUCGAAUUAAAUUGAUUUUGACCACUCGGAUAAGGGAAGUGUGUCAACAUAUGGACUGCAAGAAGGUAGUAAAAGUGGUAGGUCUAAAUUUACAAGAUUCUUGGGAUUUGUUCAGAAAGUUUUCGGGAGUCCAUGAAGAAUUGUUUUUGGAAGAGAGCUUGGUAAAGAAAGUGGUAUCGGCAUGUAAUGGUUCGCCCCUAGCUAUUGUUAGAAUCGCAACAGGCAUGAAGGGCAAAACGCAGGUUAGAGAAUGUUGACGAACUCAUGGCCCUUGUGCAGAACAGCUAUUUUGACCCUGCUAUUGAAAUUCCCAUGUUGACAUAUGUUGAAUUAUUGGACCUGCCACAAUUAUAUCUCAUAUGCAGAGGCCUCGAGCUCUGCCUUUCUCUCUAAACAUCCUCUGCUGAAUCUUGCAAUCAAUUAAGACCCCCUCAGAGAGUGAACUCCAAUAAUGGAAGUGUGCUUCUAAAUAAGACGACCCUGGAUGGGUGCUACUGGGAAGUGACUAAUCAGGUCCGUAUGUGCCCCCGCUGUUUGACUUCAUUUUAUAUUAUGU
Molecule: RNA transcript, 1804 nt
Organism: Neltuma alba
Lineage: Eukaryota; Viridiplantae; Streptophyta; Magnoliopsida; Fabales; Fabaceae
Exons: 6
Source: RefSeq, a predicted model, not a curated record